GGGCGCAUGGUGUAGUUGGUUAUCACAUCCGCUUAGCAGCAAAUGUUGUACUUGCGGGGGGUGCUGGGUUCAAUUCCCAGUGUGUCCA
Molecule: non-coding RNA, 88 nt
Organism: Daedaleopsis nitida
Lineage: Eukaryota; Fungi; Basidiomycota; Agaricomycetes; Polyporales; Polyporaceae
Source: the annotation of a GenBank genome assembly